Unclassified non-coding RNA from Pongo abelii (Sumatran orangutan), 150 nucleotides. It matches the Rfam family "Metazoan signal recognition particle RNA". Rfam says of the family: The signal recognition particle (SRP) is a universally conserved ribonucleoprotein. It is involved in the co-translational targeting of proteins to membranes. Lineage: Eukaryota; Metazoa; Chordata; Mammalia; Primates; Hominidae. The record is from Ensembl.
GCCGGGCAUGGUGGCACAUGCCUGUAAUCCCAGCUAUUUGGGAGGCUGAGGCAGGAGAAUCGCUUGAACCCGGGAGGCAGAGGUUGCAGUGAGCCGAUAUCACGCCACUGCAUUCUCUAGCCUGGGUGACAGAGGGAGAUGCUGUCUCAA